This 105-nucleotide unclassified non-coding RNA is filed under the name uncultured Microascaceae. Its description in RNAcentral is "sequence contains ITS1". The record is from RNAcentral. Lineage: Eukaryota; Fungi; Ascomycota; Sordariomycetes; Microascales.
CCGAAGUUACCCUUCUAAACCCUUUGUGAACCCUACCCCCGCCGGCGGCGCCAAACUCUUAUUUGCACAGCGGAAACGCCUCUGAUUUUGGAAUAAAACAAGUCA